This 468-nucleotide ribosomal RNA is filed under the name uncultured bacterium. RNAcentral describes it as "partial 16S ribosomal RNA". It matches the Rfam family "Bacterial small subunit ribosomal RNA", at positions 28 to 507 of the family's 1533-position model. The record is from RNAcentral.
GACGAACGCUGGCGGCGUGCUUAACACAUGCAAGUCGAACGGAAAGGCCCUGCUUUUGUGGGGUGCUCGAGUGGCGAACGGGUGAGUAACACGUGAGUAUCCUGCCCUUGACUUUGGGAUAACUUCAGGAAACUGGGGCUAAUACCGGAUAGGAGCUCCUGCUGCAUGGUGGGGGUUGGAAAGUUUCGGCGGUUGGGGAUGGACUCGCGGCUUAUCAGCUUGUUGGUGGGGUAGUGGCUUACCAAGGCUUUGACGGGUAGCCGGCCUGAGAGGGUGACCGGCCACAUUGGGACUGAGAUACGGCCCAGACUCCUACGGGAGGCAGCAGUGGGGAAUAUUGCACAAUGGGCGGAAGCCUGAUGCAGCAACGCCGCGUGCGGGAUGACGGCCUUCGGGUUGUAAACCGCUUUCGCCUGUGACGAAGCGUGAGUGACGGUAGUGGGUAAAGAAGCACCGGCUAACUACGUG